RNAcentral lists this transfer RNA (63 nucleotides) under Ficus microcarpa (Chinese banyan). Its description in RNAcentral is "tRNA-Ala". It matches the Rfam family "tRNA", at positions 11 to 71 of the family's 71-position model. Rfam says of the family: Transfer RNA (tRNA) molecules are approximately 80 nucleotides in length. Their secondary structure includes four short double-helical elements and three loops (D, anti-codon, and T loops). The record is from RNAcentral. Lineage: Eukaryota; Viridiplantae; Streptophyta; Magnoliopsida; Rosales; Moraceae.
CUCAGUUGGUAGAGCUCCGCUCUUGCAAGGCGGAUGUCAGCGGUUCGAGUCCGCUUAUCUCCA